Molecule: long non-coding RNA, 4238 nt
Filed under: Gallus gallus (chicken)
Lineage: Eukaryota; Metazoa; Chordata; Aves; Galliformes; Phasianidae
Source: RNAcentral
ACCACAUGCAAACUCCCUCCAAAACGCCAGCGCCGUCCCCGCGCCGAGCGGCUCCGGCAGCGGGCGGCAGCGCUGCGCGCCCCGGGCGGCGGGGCGGGGGGGGGUGGGGUGGGGUGGGGUGGCCGGGGGCGGCCCGGCGGGGAGCAGCAGCUUCUCCUCCCCCUCGACGCGGGGAGCGCGUCCGCCGCUCCGCCGGGGCUGUCCGCUCCCCCCUCCGGACGGAUACGGGGCGAGGCGGGGGGCGGCCAGGCCCCGCGGGGCCGUCACCGCACCCACCCCACCCCCUCCUGGAAAGAAGGGAGAGAGAUAACGGACACCCCGCAGGGUGUGCUCAGGGCCGAGGUGCAGGAGAUGGGUGAAAUCAAAUACGCCCGGAGGGCGCGGGGCUGCAGCCCCACCUGAGCUCCCAGCGCACCUGGGCACGGCCCGGCACGGCUGUGCGAGGCUGUCCCGCCCAGAGCAGCCCCGUAGUCACCCCCGCGCACACCUCGGCCUUAAGGACAGGAGACCCCCGGUGCCUGUGGGUCUGCCACGAAAGUCCCGGCGCUCAGCGAGCCGCCACGUGUGUUCGAACACGGACAAGUCGCCUCUUUUGCCCCCUGCCCCUCCAAAAGCGCAGUUUGCCCAACUUCUCUGCUUCUUCAUUUGCUGCGUCUCAGUCUUUAGCGUGGGAGAACCUGGAGAGGGACAGCCUGGGCUGCGCGUGGCGUGGGAUUAGCGGUAGCCCCGAGGAAGGCUGUACACGGGUUUAGAUUAGGAUAAAGCGUUUAUUGAUCGUUGCCUAGAGAUGCCCACUGCCGAAACGCUGAGUUCCUUCGCCCCUUCUCUUCGCUCUGCCUUCCUCCUCCUCCCCGCAAACCAAACUUAAAGUGAAAAGAAAAAAAAAAAAAAAAAAAGCACUGCGCUCUGCCAUUUCAGUCUAAACUCUUGGGUCCAUGUGCGAAAGAUAAAAAUGAAUUUGAAUCGCCAUUGGAAAAAAUCAGGAAUUGUAUGAGAUUUGCAAGAGCUGCUUUCUUAAACGGAAAUUGAGUCCUAUUUUGUGGGAAAUUAGUUUUGCAGACUUUCUGAAAAAAAAAAAAAUCUAAAACUUUUGUUCAGCAGCUGCUCCACUUUUCCCUGCAGUUUCAGGCUGAGCUGGAACCUGCAGCAGUCUUUCGACGGUAAGACUUUCCCCCCUUUUCUGCCAUCUAAUGCUUUUUAAGAAUUGUCUCUAGAUUUAGCUGUAACAACGCGGUCUUUAAAAAGAGAGCGGCGUCCAAAGCAGAAGUCGCUGCCUCCGUGCACUGUUCAAAACUUGAUAUUUCUUCAGAAUAAAGGAAAUAUACAGUUACAACACUGAUGAAAUAUUUUGUGCUUUUCAUUGUGUUUAUCGUUUCAAUAUGUGCUCUGAUAUUAAAAAAAAGAAAAGAAAAGAAAAAGAAAAAAAAGAAAGAAAAGAGUACAAAGAAAUCGCAGUGGCUGAAACGCUCUUGGUUCCGCGAACCCGCCGGGCCGUGGGUGCGGUGAUGCCGCUCUCCCCGCAACGGGGAGUGCCACCAAAGCACGGAGCCGCCGGCCCUGCCGACCCCGGUCUCAUCUCCCCGCCGCGGGCGGCCCCAGGUGGGCGCGGGGAGCGGCCGCCCGGCCCCGCUGCGCUCCGCGGCUCUCCAACCUGCUGCUGUCAGUCCGCCCGCCCCGGCCGCGGGGGCGAGACGCCGUCGUGGGGGCCGGGGCCGGGCGGGGGGGGGAAGGAAUGCAGGGACCCGUCCUGCAAGGGCGGCCGCUGCCGGAGCUCUGACACCGGCACGGAUGAGAAGGGGCCGGGGAAGUCCCGGACCCAAAGCACUGUGAAAGUGGCUUUUUUUUUUUUUUUUCUUUUUUUUUUUUUUAAUUCUGGGGGAUGGCCGCACAAGAUUUCUCGCGCGGGAUAAGAAAAGGGGGAAUAAGUGAAGCAAAGCGAGAGGGUGCGAGGGGGAGGGAGAAAGACUGGGCUUCCAAGAGGAGGUAAGAGAUGGACCCAAAUCGCACUUUUUAGGGAGAGGUAGGAGAGGCUCGAAAAGGUGAAGAAUUAAAAAAGAAGAGGAAUGCAGUAAGAAAGCCAUAAUGGCACGGCAACGUCUUUGCCAUCAGCUUCAUAAACAAACGUGAAUAAGUGGGGCUGCAUUUCCUUUGGCGCUGAUGUCCCCCAGUGCAUACACACGUCCCACAUCAAGUGUUCUUAGCACUUCUUCCAUCAGCGCUUUGAAGCACAGAAGAACUGGAAAUGCAAACCUCAAUGAAGCGUUGUGCUUUCAUUUUAAACGAUAUGGGGAGAAGGCAAACACAGGCAACUCAUGAUGAGGCAGAUAAACGGACAUUUACUGGAGCAAUCCAGAAAGUUUCUGUACGGAGCUAUCGAAUAACUAUGGUUACGUGAUGCCAUACUUUGUAAACAUUUGUGAUUUUUUCAAAGAAAGCUCCAGUGCAAAGCUUCUUGGUGUAAUAAUUACUGAAGAAAGUGUAAGCAGCUAUUACCUCUCAAUGUAAAUGGUUGGAUUCUUGUUCAUACUGUAUCUUUUUAGAAUGUGUGUUUGACCUACAUAUGGUACAAAAGCAUUACUUAAAUCAAUGCCAGCAAGUUUGCCCAAAGCUUAUAACAUCAAGUGAAAAAAUAGAAUGUUUUAAAUAUGAAAACAGUAAACCGUUUAACUCAUAAAAACAUCUGGAGCCAACGCAGUUUGGAACAUCAUUUAUAUUUUCAUAUAAGGGCUAAUAUUUGCAUUUGCUUUGUGUUUUUUGGUUGCGGUUGUUGUUUCCUUUUUUAACUUACGAUUUAUGGCAAAAGAGAUCAUAUGAAAUUGACCUGAAUGAACCAGCACAGUUUCUUUGCUUCAGGACUUCUGUAGCCUCGCUUGGUACUUUACGUUGGAGGCUAAAAGCACCAUCUUCCCGAGCAAUGCCAGAAUGACCCAGACCUGAACUCAGUGAAGACAACAGGAAUCUUUCCAUUACUUUAUGACAAAGGAUUGGAAACCAAGUCUCCCUCUGGGAUGAGAAGUGAAUUGCAUGACUUCCAACCAGAAAAGCUACAAUCUGCAUCAGGAUGCUUGACUGUCCCAGCGCACCCAAGUUUCUGAGUGUUUGUACAAAAGCUGCAGAUUUGCUGUGUCAGCAUGUUAGGCAGCAAUGCUUCUAACGACAAGAAAUAAAAUAUGUUUCUCUGACUCAGUGUCAACAGUAUUUACAUGUCAAUCCCGGUUACAUUUUAUUUUACUAUGACUUAAAUUAGAGUAAUUCAAUCACAAUUUUAUUUCUCCUGUGCUUGUGUUUUAGUCUCAGAGAAGUUGCCUUUUUAAAAAUCUGACUUAUCACAGAGAGCACAAUACAAAUAUUACACCUUAGUUUUUUUAAGCAGUGAACACACACAUUGGUCAUUAAUUUGCCCUUUCGUAAAAGGACACUUUUCAGUUCUGUCCUCUAAGAUCUACAGUAAGGUCUUUUCUUUGAGGAAGAAAACAGGUUAAUAAAUAAUCCAAAUUCUGAGGUUUAUUGGCCUUUUUUGUCAUUCACCUCCAGUGGGAAUUAUAGCAAGGAACAUUUGCCCUUGUUAACCUGCAAACAUUUUUCACUCAGUUAGGUCAUUGCCUCUGGCUCAAGGGUCCAAUUUUCCUUUCAUUCAUUAAGCACAUUGGGAAGCGGAGUUCCUAACCCUUUCCAGUCUAAAUGUGGAACAAUCACAUCCCCUCACAAUCAAGUGCCCAUGUGCUGGGACCUUUACGUUUCACUGUGAUCUCUCAGUGACGCAAAUUUUUAACAAUUGAAGGAUAUUAAGUCAAAAAGUCGUUUUCUAAUUGGAGGAGCUCAGGGGAUUUCAAAUAAUGAACUCUUACAAACUGGAAGCUGGUACAUGUGCCUUUUUAAUUAUUAUAUAUACUUUUUUUUAAAUUGGGGGAGAGGGCACUGCUAAUCUCAGAAAGCAGAUUCUAGAAGUUCUGCCUAGGAAUAAAGGAAGGCCAUGAAGGAUAACGGUUAAUCAGGCAUUAAAAAAAAUAAUAUUGUUUUAUGAGUUGAACUGACAUAUUCUCAUAUAUCAUUUUAUUGGAUGGUGUAACUGCUAGAGAACAACGCCAUUUCAGUUUUUAAAAUUGUAUGUGACAUAACUAAUUCAGAUAUUACUUUUGGGGCAUUCAGAAUAAAGUGAGAAUGUCUUCUUCCUAUUGCUAAAAGACUUUGCUACAGAGUCUCUCUGGAUGCAGAGAUGGAUGAAUGAUGGAUGCAGC